GACUCCAUUUGCGACAAGGGUAUAGAUACCUCUUUAUCUCACCAUCGAAAGCGGACGCUGUGCGCUGGUUUCUGUCGGCACCCGGUCCGGCGUCUGUGGCUGUCGGUCACCUGCUUUCGCACCUACAAAUGCAUACACAAUGGGCGAGGUUUCGGCCACCGCAACAACCAUCUCGGGCGACACCAUCGUUCUCGACAUUAGCGCUGAGAACGUCUACGGUUUCCAGCCCGGGCAGAUUGUUCACUUCACGAAAAGCCUGCGGAAUGGAAAGGUGGCCCUCAUCCGCGGCAUCAACGAAGGGCUGCUCUGGUUUGCCGUGCUGCCGGAUGUCGCCAGCGCAGCCAGUAAGCAGGCGCUGCACGUGCCUGUCAGUACUGUGAGCUGCCGCGGAAAGGAGGAACUCAUUCGCCAGUACGGGUGGAUGGUGGAUGAUACAAGGAACCCGUUUGCCGUGGCACCAGCACCGUAGAACAAGUUCGACAGCACAAUAUUUCACUGCUUGUGCUUGAGUUUGCCCGUAUGCGUCCUCUACUCCACGUAACCACACUCUGGACUCCGUGCGCAUGCUUCAGCUCUUCAAUGGGCCCUCGGUACCACGCACAGUUGUCACGGACCUUUUUUUUUUGCAUGGGCGUGGGCGCAAUAUUUCCUUCACG
RNAcentral lists this unclassified non-coding RNA (656 nucleotides) under Leishmania donovani. RNAcentral's name for it is "gene:LdHU3.33.0030(CDS-product:hypothetical_prote in_conserved)". The record is from RNAcentral. Lineage: Eukaryota; Euglenozoa; Kinetoplastea; Trypanosomatida; Trypanosomatidae.